RNAcentral lists this ribosomal RNA (251 nucleotides) under uncultured bacterium. Its description in RNAcentral is "partial 16S ribosomal RNA". It matches the Rfam family "Bacterial small subunit ribosomal RNA", at positions 524 to 775 of the family's 1533-position model. The record is from RNAcentral.
UACGUAGGGUGCGAGCGUUAAUCGGAAUUACUGGGCGUAAAGCGUGCGCAGGCGGUCUGUUAAGACCGAUGCGAAAUCCCCGGACUAACCUGGGAACUGCAUUGGUGACUGGCAGGCUUUGAGUGUGGCAGAGGGAGGUAGAAUUCCACGUGUAGCAGUGAAAUGCGUAGAGAUGUGGAGGAAUACCGAUGGCGAAGGCAGCCUCCUGGGCCAACACUGACGCUCAUGCACGAAAGCGUGGGAGCAAACAG